UUGUUGGUAAGGUAAAAGCUUACCAAGGCUUCGAUCAGUAGCUGGUCUGAGAGGACGACCAGCCACACUGGGACUGAGACACGGCCCAGACUCCUACGGGAGGCAGCAGUGGGGAAUUUUGGACAAUGGGGGCAACCCUGAUCCAGCCAUGCCGCGUGAGUGAAGAAGGCCUUCGGGUUGUAAAGCUCUUUCAGCCGGAACGAAACGGUUACGGAUAACACCCGUGACUACUGACGGUACCGGAAGAAGAAGCACCGGCUAACUACGUGCCAGCAGCCGCGGUAAUACGUAGGGUGCGAGCGUUAAUCGGAAUUACUGGGCGUAAAGCGUGCGCAGGUGGUUUUGUAAGUCAGAUGUGAAAGCCCCGGGCUCAACCUGGGAACUGCGUUUGAAACUACAAGACUAGAGUGUGGCAGAYGGGGGUGGAAUUCCGCGUGUAGCAGUGAAAUGCGUAGAGAUGUGGAGGAACACCGAUGGCGAAGGCAGCCCCCUGGGUCAACACUGACGCUCAGGCACGAAAGCAUGGGGAGCAAACAGGAUUAGAUACCCUGGUAGUCCAUGCCCUAAACGAUGUCAACUAGUUGUCGGGCCUUUACGGGCUUGGUAACGUAGCUAACGCGUGAAGUUGACCGCCUGGGGAGUACGAUCGCAAGAUUAAAACUCAAAUGAAUUGACGGGGACCCGCACAAGCGGUGGAUUAUGUGGAUUAAUUCGAUGCAACGCGAAAAACCUUACCUACCCUUGACAUGUAUUGAAGCCCGCAGAAAAGCGGGGGUGCCCGAAAGGGAACGAUAACACAGGUGCUGCAUGGCUGUUGUCAGCUCGUGUCGUGAGAUGUUGGGUUAAGUCCCGCAACGAGCGCAACCCUUGUCAUUAAUUGCCAUCAUUUAGUUGGGCACUUUAAUGAGACUGCCGG
Molecule: ribosomal RNA, 916 nt
Filed under: uncultured bacterium
Lineage: Bacteria
Description: bacterial SSU rRNA
Rfam family: Bacterial small subunit ribosomal RNA
Source: RNAcentral